GUCCCCGUCGUCCAGCGGCCCAGGACGACGCCACACUCAUGGCGUAAACACGCGGUUCGAAUCCCGUCGGGGACGCCA
This 78-nucleotide transfer RNA is filed under the name Granulicella sp. 5B5. RNAcentral's name for it is "tRNA-OTHER". The record is from RNAcentral. Lineage: Bacteria; Pseudomonadati; Acidobacteriota; Terriglobia; Terriglobales; Acidobacteriaceae.